RNAcentral lists this ribosomal RNA (253 nucleotides) under uncultured bacterium. RNAcentral describes it as "partial 16S ribosomal RNA". It matches the Rfam family "Bacterial small subunit ribosomal RNA", at positions 524 to 776 of the family's 1533-position model. The record is from RNAcentral.
UACGUAGGGGGCAAGCGUUGUCCGGAUUUAUUGGGCGUAAAGAGCGUGUAGGCGGCCAGAUAGGUCCGUUGUGAAAACUGGAGGCUUAACCUCCAGCUGUCGAUGGAAACCAUCUGGCUAGAGUCCGGAAGAGGAGAGUGGAAUUCCUGGUGUAGCGGUGAAAUGCGCAGAUAUCAGGAAGAACACCCGUGGCGAAGGCGGCUCUCUGGGACGGUACUGACGCUGAGGCGCGAAAGCCAGGGGAGCGAACGGG